This is a non-coding RNA of Myodes glareolus (Bank vole), 833 nucleotides long. NCBI's taxonomy places the organism in Eukaryota, Metazoa, Chordata, Mammalia, Rodentia, Cricetidae. The record is from RefSeq and is a predicted model, not a curated record.
CUCCAGAGGUUGCUCCCACUGGCCUCCAGUCUCCAAAGAUAAACAGAACCAUAGGGUCCAUGAGAGGCCUGAAGUGAAUCAUAUGGCAUCGGAUACAAAUGAGACAUUUAAGGCGGCGUCUGAGCACCUGGAAUUCCAAAGUCAAAUCCACCCAGGGAGUUAACCACAAAUAUUGUGUCUGUCACAUAACUAAGAAGAGCAAUUGCUUCUACAGGUCAGCAUUUCACUCAUGGAAGAGACCAACUCUACUUGUGACUGGGGCCAAACCUAAUCAGGAAGCAGCUGUUCGAAUCAUCGAAUCAUUCACACUCAGGGACUUCAGUCCAUAAAAACAAGCUCUUCUCAGAGUAUCGGGCAUAACUGUUGGGAUAAACAGAAUGCUGAAGGUCCUACUUACCAUGCCAUUCCAGAACAUUCUACCCUGUUCUCAAGAAUGUUCCAGUUCCAAUGCAGAAUGCAUAUUAAGAACACUUCUUAAGCAUCCAGUUCAAGGUCUCCUAUUCAGCGACGCCUGAAGCUCAAGUGCAGAGUCCCAUUUGGUUUCAGAGGGAGGACUGAGCAUCACACAGGAGAAGCUGGAUUCAUGCAUAGGAGCAAAUGAAUCUCUACCCAGAGAUCUCUACUACAGGGGGAAGCAGCAGCCACUGCACAGAGGGACUUCACAUGCUUCCUUGCGUCUGCUCAGCAUCGCUGAGGGUGGAACACCUCUAACCUUCUCUGGGUUAUGUCAUGGGUCUGACAAUGCAACAUGGGAUGCUUUGUUCCAGCUGCAGAAGGAGCAAGCAGGCAAACACUCCCUGUGCAACAUUGCUGCCAUUCACUCUACAAAUUCC